This is a long non-coding RNA of Glossina fuscipes, 1986 nucleotides long. RefSeq lists it as uncharacterized. Lineage: Eukaryota; Metazoa; Arthropoda; Insecta; Diptera; Glossinidae. The transcript has 3 exons. The record is from RefSeq and is a predicted model, not a curated record.
GAGAUAUAUGGAUUCGGCAUCUUUUGUCCAAAGAACGAACAAAACCGCAAAUGUAAUGAAAUGUCAUCCAAUUAAAUGUAUGAAUGGAUCGGGCGGAAUGUAGGAGCAUAACACCACUACAAUGAUACGAUAGGCGACUGAGACUUCAAAUAUUGAAUUGUAUCAGUGUAUGUCGUCUGCCAUUCAAAAACCUCAACGAUAUCACAUCACAUGCUAGUGAAAGAAAAUGCAUCAUCAUCAGCUUUAUUUUGUUGGCAGUAAAUGUAAUGAGAGUUUCAUCAAUUCAAUUGGGUGAAAAUUAAACGGAAUUACCAGCAAUUGAAAAUUAUCACCCACAAGAAAGAAACAAAUUAGAUUAAAUUAAGUUAAGAUUAAAAUCUUCGCAAAACGAUGUUACGCAAAGCCAGCCCUCCUCUCCCGGCAGCAAAUUUAGCAAUGGUCUCGAAGAAUUUAUUUUCUCGAGACAUAAUUUUUGCUUUUCCCAGAUGGACACUAAAACCGAUCACGAAAAAAGACUUAUUGUAAAGUCAAAGACCGAAAUGUUUGCGAAAAAUAAUUAAAAUCAUAACGGAAAAAAGCGGUUAAGUUGUGCAAGUGGUAAAUUAUUCCAAGCCGAACACAUAUUAUCCCGUUUCCUCGCCGCCGACUGUUGAGCGAGCCCAGCAAAAACCAUAAGGUUGACGAUGACGGUGUUGGUGUUGAUGAAAAAUUUGUUGAUACUAAAAGGAUAUUCGGUUGAAUACUGAUGCCGGCUGCAAUUUUAAUUUGCAUGGCUGUUGCGGCCCACCCUCACCCAAGACCAUUACAGCAACCAGGAAGACUAAAUCAUCUAUUUGCGGAGGCCACAAUUUUAAAAGAUUAACCAACUGCCUAAAAGGAAACUAAAUAAAAGUUGCACAAACUAACAGAUGCGAGCAAGUAAAGAUUUUACUACCCACUAAACCCUUAGUCUGUAUACAUGCAAAUAUAUGGAAAAAGUAUAUAAAUAUGUGUAUAUACAAGUACAUAUGUAUUUAAUAUAUUACUCAAUAAGUACGCAGGGUGACAUACAGAUUUAAAAUGAGUAUUGACAUGAUUUUUAGAUAAUACCAAGGUUCAGAAUCAAAAUAGAAAUGAAACCACUAGUAGUAGAUCAAGAUAGAGGAAAAACAGCCAAACGGUCCACAAGGGAUCUCCGGACUUUUUUCUUUACUAUUUGCAUUGCAUGUUUAGCGAUGUUGUUAAUAUAUUAAGAUUAACUUUUCCACAGUUCUUUCUUGGUUACAUGGUAGAAGCACGUAAAAAUUUGUUGUUCUUCAAUCCCUCAUAAACAUGUAACCAUUUAAGUCACUUGGAGCCUAUUAGCUUACUAUGUAAGGCAGCUUUUUAUUUUCAAUUGUGAUUUGAAGCGUCGUGGACUAUGGGAAAUGGCUAUUGAGACACUAUCCAGUUUAUUCGCCUGUCUGGAGACAUGAGUCGCAUUGCAUACGUUAUUUCAAAUGCAGAAAUUCCGUUGAACAUCAACAUUUCGUUUUGCGGUAAUCUCUUUAAUAGUAAUCCGUGAGUUAUUAUUCACUAAAUCAUGGCUAAAGUCACUACCCCACGUUGAAGCAAAGUUUAUCGUUUAGAUUGAAAUCAGCACUUUUAAAUGGAUUAAUGCGAGUAUUAAGAACGGGAGCGAUUAAUGUAACGAUGAGAGCACAGCCAAGGAAGAAAUGGAACACAAUUCUCGAUUACGUUUUGUUGCUCUUUCAAAACUCGCUCGUUGAUUAACUUAAUAUUGUGAAACGAAGGACAUUUUCGUCCAUUCUGAAGAAUGAUACGUCAUAAAUUAAAUUCGAUAUGGUUUUUUUUAAAUUUAAUUGACCUAUAAGACCUACGAUAAAUCUGAGUUGUUACUAUAUAAAGAAAUAUCAGUACGCAGUCGAAAGUGCGUCCUUUUGCUAAUAAAUAAAAAUUGUGCAAGAACUUUUGCAAAAAUCCAAUGUAUUUAAGAAAGUCAUGUAU